Non-coding RNA from Vicia faba (fava bean), 273 nucleotides. The record is from the annotation of a GenBank genome assembly. Lineage: Eukaryota; Viridiplantae; Streptophyta; Magnoliopsida; Fabales; Fabaceae.
AUGUCUUCCUUUUUCUUGUCCACACUAGUUUUCUUCCUUGCUGCUCUUAUCCUUGUUCCUCAAGGGCUUGCUCAGUAUCACCUUAAUCCAGCUUAUGAACCACCAGUGAACGGGCCACCGGUGAAUAAGCCACCCCAAAAAGAGACACCGGUGCAUAAACCACCACAAAAAGAGCCACCGAGGCAUAAGCCACCGCACAAGAAGUCACAUUUGCACGUGACAAAACCAUCUUAUGGCAAACAUCCUACAGAAGAACAUAACAUCCAUUUCUAA